CGACUCUCGGCAACGGAUAUCCCGGCUCUCGCAUCGAUGAAGAACGCAGCAAAAUGCGAUACUUGGUGUGAAUUGCAGAAUCCCGUGAACCAUCGAGUUUUUGAACGCAAGUUGCGCCCGAAGCCGUUAUGCUGAGGGCACGUCUGCCUGGGCGUCACG
RNAcentral lists this ribosomal RNA (159 nucleotides) under Syringa pubescens subsp. patula. Its description in RNAcentral is "5.8S ribosomal RNA". It matches the Rfam family "5.8S ribosomal RNA". From Rfam's summary of the family: 5.8S ribosomal RNA (5.8S rRNA) is a component of the large subunit of the eukaryotic ribosome. It is transcribed by RNA polymerase I as part of the 45S precursor that also contains 18S and 28S rRNA. Lineage: Eukaryota; Viridiplantae; Streptophyta; Magnoliopsida; Lamiales; Oleaceae. The record is from RNAcentral.